Molecule: small nuclear RNA, 104 nt
Filed under: Ursus americanus (American black bear)
Lineage: Eukaryota; Metazoa; Chordata; Mammalia; Carnivora; Ursidae
Source: RNAcentral
GUGUUCGUUUUGGCAGCACAUAUACUAAAAUUGGAACGAUACAGAGAUUAGCAUGGCCCCUGAGCAGAGAUGACAUGCAAAUUUGUGAAGUGUUCCAUAUUUUU